RNAcentral lists this ribosomal RNA (460 nucleotides) under uncultured Treponema sp. RNAcentral describes it as "partial 16S ribosomal RNA". It matches the Rfam family "Bacterial small subunit ribosomal RNA", at positions 341 to 792 of the family's 1533-position model. Lineage: Bacteria; Pseudomonadati; Spirochaetota; Spirochaetia; Treponematales; Treponemataceae. The record is from RNAcentral.
ACGGAAGGCAGCAGCUAAGAAUAUUCCGCAAUGGACGAAAGUCUGACGGAGCGACGCCGCGUGGAUGAUGAAGGUCGGAAGAUUGUAAAAUCCUUUUAUGACUGAGGAAUAAGCAGUGUGAGAGAAACGCAUUGUGGUGACUGUAGGUCAUGAAUAAGCAACGGCUAAUUACGUGCCAGCAGCCGCGGUAACACGUAAGUUGCGAGCGUUGUUCGGAAUUAUUGGGCGUAAAGGGCAUGUAGGCGGUUUUGCAAGCUUGGUGUGAAAUCUCGGAGCUCAACUCCGAAAUUGCGUUGAGAACUGCAUAACUAGAGUCACUGAGGGGCAAUCAGAAUUCCAGGUGUAGGGGUGAAAUCUGUAGAUAUCUGGAAGGAUACCAAUGGCGAAGGCAGGUUACCAGCAGAUGACUGACGCUGAGGUGCGAAGGUGCGGGGAGCAAACAGGAUUAGAUACCCUGGUA